GACCCUUUAGUUUAUAAAAAACGUUAAAUUGCAAGUUUAAAGAAAAAGUGUUUAUGGGUUU
Molecule: transfer RNA, 61 nt
Filed under: Ruditapes variegatus
Lineage: Eukaryota; Metazoa; Mollusca; Bivalvia; Venerida; Veneridae
Also listed under: 1 other name
Description: tRNA-Cys
Source: RNAcentral